Molecule: ribosomal RNA, 786 nt
Filed under: uncultured marine bacterium
Lineage: Bacteria
Description: bacterial SSU rRNA
Rfam family: Bacterial small subunit ribosomal RNA
Source: RNAcentral
UGAUCCUGGCUCAGAACGAACGCUGGCGGCGUGGAUAAGACAUGCAAGUCGAACGGAGAUCUUGAAUAGCUUGCUAAUUGAGAUCUUAGUGGCGGACGGGUUAGUAACACGUGAGAACCUACCCUUUAGACAGGAAUAGCCCAUGGAAACGUGGAUUAAUGCCUGAUAGUCUCUACGGAGUAAAUGGUGCCUUCGGGUAUCGCUAGAGGAUGGGCUCGCGGCCUAUCAGCUUGUUGGUGAGGUAAAGGCUCACCAAGGCGACGACGGGUAGCUGGUCUGAGAGGACGAUCAGCAACACUGGAACUGAGACACGGUCCAGACACCUACGGGUGGCAGCAGUCGAGAAUCAUUCACAAUGGAGGCAACUCUGAUGGUGCAACGCCGCGUGGAGGAUGACGGUCCUAGGAUUGUAAACUCCUGUCAUUGGGGAGUAAGACUUAAGCGUUAAGAGCGUCUAAGUUUGAUAGUACCCAAAGAGGAAGGGACGGCUAACUUCGUGCCAGCAGCCGCGGUAAUACGAAGGUCCCAAGCGUUGUUCGGAAUCACUGGGCGUAAAGCGUGUGUAGGCUGCGCGGAAAGUCAAAUGUGAAAGCCCGGGGCUCAACCUCGGAACUGCAUUCGAUACUCCCGUGCUAGAGUAAUGGAGAGGUAAGUGGAAUUCCUGGUGUAGCAGUGAAAUGCGUGGAUAUCAGGAGGAACAUCAAUGGCGAAGGCAACUUACUGGACAUUUACUGACGCUCAGACACGAAGGCUAGGGUAGCGAAAGGGAUUAGAUACCCCUGUAGU